This is a long non-coding RNA of Mus pahari (shrew mouse), 318 nucleotides long. RefSeq lists it as uncharacterized. Lineage: Eukaryota; Metazoa; Chordata; Mammalia; Rodentia; Muridae. The record is from RefSeq and is a predicted model, not a curated record. The transcript has 3 exons.
CCUCGUUGCGGUGCCGAAGUCCCCGGCACUGAUUACGUUUCCCGUCGAGCUGAUGAAGAAAUGCAAGCAGCAGGCCUGACCUCAGGAAAUUAAGAUUUAGCCUCACCAUUGAGGCACCAGACUCCUGACAACCCAUCCACAAGAAUUCAGUUGAUGACGACUCACAUUCCAUCGCUCCAUCCUCUGCACGUCUCCAGCCCAGAGACCAGCUCAGUUCUCUUCUUGAGUUGGUGCCAGCCACCCGGCAACAUCUGUUAAUUGACGAGAUAGAUAGAGAAAGACGAUGGAAAGAAGAAAGAGAUAAAGGGAAGGAACGAA